UACGAAGGGGGCUAGCGUUGCUCGGAAUGACUGGGCGUAAAGGGCGCGUAGGCGGAGUGUUUUGUCGGGCGUGAAAUUCCAGGGCUCAACCUUGGGGCUGCGUUCGAGACGGGCAUUCUGGAGUGGGGAAGAGGGUCGUGGAAUUCCCAGUGUAGAGGUGAAAUUCGUAGAUAUUAGGAAGAACACCAGUGGCGAAGGCGGCAUCCUGGACCGGCAUUGACGCUGAUGAGCGAAAGCCAGGGGAGCAAACGGG
Molecule: ribosomal RNA, 253 nt
Filed under: uncultured bacterium
Lineage: Bacteria
Description: partial 16S ribosomal RNA
Rfam family: Bacterial small subunit ribosomal RNA
Source: RNAcentral